UAAAAGAUAGGUUAUAAAAACCACUGAAUUGUGGUUUCAGAGAUAUUUAAUUAAAUUCUUUUUC
This 64-nucleotide transfer RNA is filed under the name Dendrobaena veneta. RNAcentral describes it as "tRNA-His". Lineage: Eukaryota; Metazoa; Annelida; Clitellata; Crassiclitellata; Lumbricidae. The record is from RNAcentral.